This 497-nucleotide ribosomal RNA is filed under the name uncultured bacterium. RNAcentral's name for it is "partial 16S ribosomal RNA". It matches the Rfam family "Bacterial small subunit ribosomal RNA", at positions 28 to 507 of the family's 1533-position model. The record is from RNAcentral.
GAUGAACGCUGGCGGCGUGCCUAAUACAUGCAAGUCGAGCGAACAGACGAGGAUCUUGCUCCUCUGACGUUAGCGGCGGACGGGUGAGUAACACGUGGAUAACCUACCUAUAAGACUGGGAUAACUUCGUGAAACCGGAGCUAAUACCGGAUAAUAUAUUGAACCGCAUGGUUCAAUAGUGAAAGACGGUUUUGCUGUCACUUAUAGAUGGAUCCGCGCCGCAUUAGCUAGUUGGUAAGGUAACGGCUUACCAAGGCAACGAUGCGUAGCCGACCUGAGAGGGUCAUCGGCCAGCCGGGCAGUGAGACACGGUCCAGACUCCUAGGGGAGGCAGCAGUAGGGAAUCUUCCGCAAUGGGCGAAAGCCUGACGGAGCAACGCCGCGUGAGUGAUGAAGGUCUUCGGAUCGUAAAACUCUGUUAUUAGGGAAGAACAAAUGUGUAAGUAACUAUGCACGUCUUGACGGUACCUAAUCAGAAAGCCACGGCUAACUUCGUG